This 570-nucleotide long non-coding RNA is filed under the name Homo sapiens (human). RNAcentral's name for it is "HSALNT0276874". The record is from RNAcentral. Lineage: Eukaryota; Metazoa; Chordata; Mammalia; Primates; Hominidae.
CCCCUAUCUCACUCAAGCUCACCCCAUUUCUGCCUGGCUGUCCCCACUCUCCAUCCCCAAAUCAUCAUUCAAAACUCUCUGUUCCCCCAGCUCCGGACAGCCCCUGACUCCAUGCCUUCUCCCGACUCAUCCGCUGUCCCUUGUCCCAGGGGUUCCCCUCCCUCCUAACACACACACACCGGCUCAGGGAGGGAGAGGAAAUGGUGCACCAGGAGAGAGAAAAGGCAAAAGGUCAUAGGCAGUCGGGUGGGCGGGGAGGAAGGAAAGUGAAAGGUGACAGGAGAGCUGGGAGCUGUCCCGACAUGUCCUGGUUUGCCCCUCCCCCAGGGGGGCCUGUUCUCCCGACUCCCCCCAGGCCCCCUUAGACGCUUUUCCAGGGCUCUGCAGAAGGGCACCUGAAGAUGGUGGGGGCCGGGGUCAGCGGGCGAGUGAGGCUGGAGACCUCCCCCGGAUCCCCCAUGCUGGAACAGCGGGGACAGGGGCCUCCUCAAGUUCACUUCUCCUGGGUCCCCUGUUCGUCCCAGCAUCCCAAGGCAGUGCUGAGGCCCCGGGGUGGCUGCGGGAGGGGGG